CAGUCGCCACGGUAAUACGUAGGGUGCGAGCGUUAAUCGGAAUUACUGGGCGUAAAGCGUGCGCAGGCGGUUCGUUAAGACAGAUGUGAAAUCCCCGGGCUUAACCUGGAACUGCAUUUGUGGCUGGCGAGCUAGAGUAUGGCAGAGGGGGGCAGAAUUCCACGUGUAGCAGUGAAAUGCGUAGAGAUGUGGAGGAAUACCGAUGGCGAAGGCAGCCCCCUGGGCCAAUACUGACGCUCAUGCACGAAAGCGUGGGGAGCAAACAGGAUUAGAUACCCCUGUAGUCCCUGUCUCUUAUACA
This 301-nucleotide ribosomal RNA is filed under the name uncultured bacterium. Its description in RNAcentral is "partial 16S ribosomal RNA". It matches the Rfam family "Bacterial small subunit ribosomal RNA", at positions 509 to 808 of the family's 1533-position model. The record is from RNAcentral.